CUCUUUCAGUUUAAAAGUAUAGGCCUUUCAUUUUGUAGGAUGAUCAUCCACCUGGGUGUGUCCAGUGUUUACCCAUGGCCAGACUAGAGCCAUAGAUUCUUGGAAGGAAUACUGCAACAGUGAUUCUGUGCUCUUUCUUAGCCCAUCGCAUCAGGAAUACAAGGCCAACCCGUCCCACCACUGGUGACAUUUCCCUUGAUCACUCGUAUUUGGAGUCUGCCAGUUUUCUCGACUGUAAAGUCACCAGUCCUCCCUUUGCAUUUGGUUGGUUAUUUUGUGCAGAAAUAUUCUGAGAUUAUGCCAACACCUGUUCCUCACCAAACUUCUACCUACCAGCCUUAGCAUCCAUUGAUGACCUCGUCUCUAUCAGCUACCACAGAUUGGGCUGCCAAAUGGGGAAGCUGGCCACAUUGUAAGAAGUCGGACUAUGCUGAGACUGUCAUGAUGACAGAAAACCCAAGCUAGCCAGGUGGAGAGAUCACACAGAAAGAGAUGCCUGGCCAGCUGUUACCUGAUAUGCCAUCAUGCAAGAAGAUAAAGGAAGGACAGAGGUUAAACUAAGAGAUGCAGAAAUUAUAGUAUAUCAGCCAGGUGUGGUGGCUCAUGCCUGUAAACCCAGCCCUUUGGGAAGCCGAUGCGGGCGGAUCACGAGAUAUUAAUCCAAGGAACAAUACUGACGAAUUUCACGGACAAAAUACUAAGAAGGAAAUCAAGUGAAUCAAGCGGAGAAGAAAGACAGUGGAAAAAGAAAACUGAAAAUAAAAAUAUUUUCUAGACCCCUUGAAAUAAAGUUUGAAAAACCACAGUGCUUUGCAAAAUAUCACAUUCAAUUGCUAGCUAAAAAAAAAAUUCAUUGGAAGUGCCAUUGGGACAGCAGAGGAUGAGGAGGUCUGGUAAGGUCUCUGGCUGGUCUUGUAAACCAUACCCCAGGGUUGGGGCCAGGGUUUUUAGGCUCAGGCCUCUCUGAUAUGGUAGGAAGGUAUGAAGAGAAUCUUUUCAUCUAUUUUUUAACCAUUAAUCUUUCUCAAUGCAGCAGGAGACCAUGGGGGUCCUGGGUCUGGGGGUCUGCUUUUCUUCCGAAGCUCAGCCAGGCUCAGUAUCAAGGAGCUGACAUCAAGACACUAAUUGUGAGGGAAAGGAGAGAACAUCUUUAGAUAAGCCUACCUGCCCUGUGAUUGCCUGUGAUGGGGUUCAGGACACACUGGCCCCAAAUAUGGCACCUUGGCAUGGGAGAAAAUGGCAGAAGCAGGAAGGUCUCUCUCACCUUCCCCUCGCCCUUCUCCCUUGAAUGUUGAUGAAGAUAUGAAAUAAGGUUUGCCAAAUUACCUGCUGUAUUUAUGACCUCCCUUGAAGCAGGUCAUAAAGCCAUCAUUCCAGAGAUGCCCUCCCCAUACCCAGACCAAAGAAGGCUCCUUAUUUCUGAAGACACAGGGACACAAAGAGGAAUCUGAACAAACAGGCCUUACUAAGUUUUCCCCAGUUAAUUCCUAUUGGACAUGCCCUUUUUCCAUUCAUACUUCUCCACAAGCAUUCACUUCUUCAAUGACUUACACAAAAAAUAUACACAGGUUUAGUCCUUUCUUUGGGUCUUCAUUCCUGAAGGCUGCUGUGCCACAGAAAAUGUUAAUGCUUUUCUCUUGUUAAUCUGUCUUUUGUUAUAAAUGCCUCAGCCAUUAAUCCAAGAUGGAAAAGAAAAAUAUUCCUUUUUCCUGCUCCUAAGAGCCACCUAAUGUGUUGCAGACCAAACCCACAGCAAUCCUGUUAUCUGGGAGUUCAUCUGUGAUCUUGAUUAGAACUAACAUAGGAAAUAGAUAGAUGUGAGUUGCUUCCAGAAUAAGAUUAGAAUAUGAAAUCACAUUUAAAAUUUAAAAGCAACAUGUUAGCAACGACUCUAACCACAGUUCUCCCUUCUUUUUCAAAACCAGGGGUCUGGUCCAGAUCUUGUAUUGCCUGAAGAAGGUCCUAGGUACUACCUUUCCUGAAAGAAAGACAUGGUACUAAAGCUCCUCCAACCCACCUUUGCUCUUCUCUUACCUCAUAAAAUAGCGAGCAUCAAAUUAUUUGAGGAAAAGCAUUUAAGAAUUUUUUUUUUAGGGACAAGUUCUUGCUCUAUCGCCCAGAUUGGAGUGCAGUGGUGUGAUCUCAGCUCACUGCAGCCUCAAACUCCUGGGCUCACGCAAUCCUGCCACCUCAGCCUCUUGAAUAGCUGGGACUGCAGGCAUGCACCACCAUGAUUGGCCAAUGUUUAAAUUUUUUUGUAGAGACAAAGUCUCCCUAUGUUUCCCAGGCUGGUUUCAAGCUCCUGGGCUCAAGUGAUCCUCCCACUUCAGCCUCCCAAAGUGCUAGGAUUACAGGCAUGAGCCACCAUGCCUGGCUGGGUAUAAGAAUGUCAAUAUGCUUAGGUUUAGAUACAGUUUAGUGUUUUUCAAAUGACAGAUUGCAAUCCCUUAAAGGUUAAUAAAAUCAAUUUGGUAGGUUGCAAACAGCACUUUAAAAACAAAACAAAUAAACAAACAAACACACUAGUAUCUGAUGGUAGAUCUUGUCUUGUCUAAAGCCCUGCAGCGUGAGGCAUAUCCAGAAAAGGUCAACCCUGAGUCCCAUCUGGAGGGGCAUCCUCUCUAGGUCACCAUUUGUCACAGUCAGUUUUAGGGCUUGAGGAAAUUUAAUUUCCAUUUCAGAAACUCACUAAUCUAGUUGUGACCAAACUUUUUCCUACCAAUCUAACCAAGUUUGCUUAUAAACAAUCACACUGAGACCACAGCCUUCUUCCCCAACGUAGGUGCAGAUGAAAUAAAGAAGUUUAGAGCAGUUUUUUCUAACGUGGGCUCUGUAAUAAAAACCUGCUACAGUCAAAUAUUUGAGAAACCCUCCGUACUGUUAUCUUCUCUUAUAGAUUCCUAGCCUAUAAAAGAAGAGACCCAUUUAACUUUGUUUAACCCGUUAUGUCCUAAACUUUUUUGAUUGUGGAGUAACCUCUCUUAACAAUUCCACUACCCUAGCCUGAGCCCUUAGCCUGAUAGCUACUCCCUUUUGGGCUGACUGCAGCUGCCUGCCUCUUAGCUUUGUGACUACUGUCACACAACAUACGGUCUUUACUCAGCAGCCCAUACUAGGUCCUCACCAAUUUCUUGAUGGAGUACGAAGUAAGGUUUGCCAUAUUACCUACUCUACAAUUUGGGGACUUUAACCAUUGUAAGCCCAAUCAUCACUCUCACUUCUUAGCUUUUAUUUAAAGAGUAAGUUUGUAUUCUAAAUUGAUUUCUACAACUGCUGUUUAUGGAAUUAAGAUGAAUCCAGUGGUGGUCAGCUGAUCACUGUGGGUGAAGUCUGUUGGUUGCUUUUUACAGUAUUUUAUGUUCCUUCUUCUCUUGCUUCCUGUGUGCUGUGCUGUGAAGCAUGACAGAGCACCUGCCUGUGUGUGCACAGCACCGUGAACUCAAUCUUUCAGUCACUUUCUUUUCUUUUCAUGUUUAAAUAAGAGAUAAGCCACGUUGGCCAGGGCAUGUGGACUCUCCAUGGAGUUCACUAACAAACCGAAUUUAUGUAUCGUUGCAAAAUAGUCAACACUCCAGUCUGUUAGAAACAGGUGCCAAGAGAGGAAAUGUUUAAUAUUUUCCACGUGGCAUGGGCUCUGUCAGACAGUGUUUCCAACCAGAGUCUGUUUUCGCAGUUAAAUCAUAGGUUCAGAGUCUUCCUUUUGCCUCAAGAGUCUGUCUGGUGGCUGGCUCGCAGCUAGCUUCUGCACAAUCCCCUCACUCUGACCCUGCAUCUUCAAUGCCGCCAUUCUGCCAAACCGCUGCUACUUCUGGUAAGAGCCAGGGUGACAUACCUACCUGCCCAGAGCCACCCUUGACAGGAGACUCAGGGAGAAGUGCCCCCAGGACCAAAGCACCUGCCCAGCCCACUGGAAGAAGGAAGCUUACAAUUCUGUAUGCUUGGAACCCACCAAAGCCUGAGGCCUCACUGGCACCCAGCCAUCCACAGGAGUUAGCAGCUGUUUGAGUCCAGAAGGAAGAACUUUUGGAGUCGGAGACAAAUAAUGUUCACCACUCCACUUCCUUGUUCCUUCACACCUGCUACUUUGGAUUCAGACGAGAAGUUCCAAGAAUCCCUGAGUCCACAGCAUGACUCUGGUUUGCAGAACCUCUGUCCAGACCAGCCAGAUCAGAAUACAAAGGAAAGUGACACAUCCUGGAUCUCAACCCACUUCGAUGGGAAGUCUUCCUGAUAAAUUUAGAGAUAACCUAAAGCCCUUGGGGACUUCCUCUUGAUUUGAAUCUGCUGAACACCUGCCGCACCCCCACCGCACCCCCCCCCCCCGCCCCCCGCCACCGCAGAUGAAAACAUCAACUCUGCAGAAUUAAUGGAUAUGGGAAUCACCUGGGGACCUCUCAUUAAAUUGCAAAUUAUGAUUCAGAGGGUCUGGGGAGGGACAGAGACUCUGCAUUUCUAACAAGCUCUCCGGUGGUGCCCACGCAUCACCGGGGCCGGAGAACCUUCCAUCAUUCCAGCAAUGCUCACCAUCACUGCCAUUCUUGCUCUUCUUUCUGGGGCCGUUGCCCAUUUUCUCCAUGGUAUCCUUCUUUUUUCCUAUUCUUUUCCUCUUUUAAUCCUUUUUUUCUUCCCAGCCAACUCACUAUUCCUAUAUCCCUGCUAACCCUCAAUGCUCCUUCACUCAAAGAUGAAGAAACUCCUGCCCUUUCUUCCUCCAGACAUUCAUCUCCCUCCCUCCCUCCUCUCCUCAGCUUUGUAGUGCCAGGAAAAGAAAGAUCACCAUUUACUGACAAUUUUGUGUGAAGCACUGUCCCAAGUGCAUUACCCAUAUUACUUAACUCUCACAACAACCCUGCAAAGUACACAUUAUUUCUGCCAUUUUAGACAUGAGAAAAUUGGGACUUGGGGUGGUUAAAGAAAUCUUGUCCUCAACCAGGAAGUAGUGAUCUGAGAUUAGAAUUUAGAUCUGUCUGAGGCCAAAGUCUACAACUUCUAUACUGCACCAUGCUCAUAUAAGGUGAACAAUCUAGAAGGCAGCUGGUAGGAGUGGCUUCAGUAAAAAGGAAUGGAAUACCACGAGCUUCACCCCAUUUAUGCAUCCUGAACCCUUCACUCCACUUUUGUUAAGUACAUGCCCUAUGAGACGGUUUGACAUACCAAUAAUGAGAGCUGUUUCAAGAAUGCCCAGAUUAGCUAGGAUGGUUGGGACCUAAAUAGCACAGUAGUAAUAUUAAAGCCCAAAGUUGCCAAUAUGCUCAAUUUUCAAUGUAACCUUUUAUUAUAAAUUAAGACCCAUAACUGUACACACAGAGUCUGUUACCAAAAAAGAAAUUCCUUCCAUUGGCCAAUUAUUC
RNAcentral lists this long non-coding RNA (5351 nucleotides) under Homo sapiens (human). RNAcentral describes it as "HSALNT0111012". Lineage: Eukaryota; Metazoa; Chordata; Mammalia; Primates; Hominidae. The record is from RNAcentral.